This is a long non-coding RNA of Cyprinus carpio (common carp), 457 nucleotides long. RefSeq lists it as uncharacterized. The record is from RefSeq and is a predicted model, not a curated record. The transcript is spliced from 3 exons. Lineage: Eukaryota; Metazoa; Chordata; Actinopteri; Cypriniformes; Cyprinidae.
CACUUCCAAGCUCAGCAGACACCCAAAAACACCUGCAGGUCUCAGAGAAAAGGAAGUUAAAGAGGUUUUGCUCGUGGACGUACCUGCACCAGCACUUCAGUCAUCAGAGAAGCUGCUAAUUGAUCUCUCCAAUACCCCAGACCUGAUCAAGACUUCCUCUGGAAAGCCUUGGGGAGGACAGUUAAUUGAUCUGAGCUCUCCUCUUAUAAAGUGGAGUCCAGAGGACAAGAAAGAAAAUGCUGAGAAUGCAGCUCCACUGAUCGACUUGUCUUUUUAGAGGAUCUGCAAAAUUUACUGUGAAUUGUGCCAAGAAAAAAAUGAACUGGAGCAUUACAUACUGUUUAAUACUAUUGAAAUCAAAUUAAGAGGGAGCUUGGAUGCUGCUGUGCUUCAAUAGCCUUUGUGUUUUUAUUUGUGUUGUCUGUCUUACAUGAUUGUAUGUAAUUAUGGUGAUGUG